AUGGCAUCCCCGGCGCGGCUAGCCUCCGUCUCCGGCCCCUUCGGCUCCGCUGCUGACCUCACCAUCUUCUCCACUCCGACCACGACGCGGCGGGCGGAUCCGGGCCGUGCGAGCGAGACGGCAGCCAGAUCCUCGACGGCGAGGACACGCAGCGGUCCCCGCCGGCCAAAUCAGGCCCCCCCCCACCAGUGA
This 192-nucleotide ribosomal RNA is filed under the name Triticum aestivum (bread wheat). RNAcentral describes it as "partial small subunit ribosomal RNA". The record is from RNAcentral. Lineage: Eukaryota; Viridiplantae; Streptophyta; Magnoliopsida; Poales; Poaceae.